Molecule: transfer RNA, 68 nt
Filed under: Amarygmini sp. ACP-2013
Lineage: Eukaryota; Metazoa; Arthropoda; Insecta; Coleoptera; Tenebrionidae
Description: tRNA-Met
Source: RNAcentral
AAAAAGAUAAGCUAACCAAGCUUAUAGGUUCAUACCCUGUCAAUGAAAGAAAACCCUUUCUCUUUUUA